RNAcentral lists this ribosomal RNA (468 nucleotides) under uncultured bacterium. RNAcentral's name for it is "partial 16S ribosomal RNA". It matches the Rfam family "Bacterial small subunit ribosomal RNA", at positions 28 to 507 of the family's 1533-position model. The record is from RNAcentral.
GACGAACGCUGGCGGCGUGCUUAACACAUGCAAGUCGAACGGAAAGGCCCUGCUUUUGUGGGGUGCUCGAGUGGCGAACGUGUGAGUAACACGUGAGUAACCUGCCCUUUACUUUGGGAUAACUUCAGGAAACUGGGGCUAAUACCUGAUAGGAGCUCCUGCUGCAUGGUGGGGGUUGGAAAGUUUCGGCGGUUGGGGAUGGACUCGCGGCUUAUCAGCUUGUUGGUGGGGUAGUUGCUUACCAAGGCUUUGACGGGUAGCCGGACUGAGAGGGUGACCGGCCACAGUGGGACUGAGAUACGGCCCAGACUCCUACGGGAGGCAGCAGUGGGGAAUAUUGCACAAUGGGCGGAAGCCUGAGGCAGCAACGCCGCGUGCGGGAUGACGGCCUUCGGGUUGUAAACCGCUUUCGCCUGUGACGAAGCGUGAGUGACGGUAAUGGGUAAAGAAGCACCGGCUAACUACGUG